AGCAGCCGCGGUAAUUCCAGCUCCAAUAGCGUAUAUUAAAGUUGUUGCAGUUAAAAAGCUCGUAGUUGAAUUUCGGGGUUAGUAGGUCGGUCGUGCCACAGGUAUGUACUGGUCUCACUGAUUCCUCCUUCCUGAUGAACCGUAAUGCCAUUAAUUUGGUGUUGCGGGGAAACUGGACUGUUACUUUGAAAAAAUUAGAGUGUUUAAAGCAGGCUAACGCUUGAAUACAUUAGCAUGGAAUAAUGAAAUAGGACGUUCGAUCCUAUUUUGUUGGUUUCUAGGAUUGACGUAAUGAUUAAUAGGGAUAGUUGGGGGCAUUAGUAUUCAAUUGUCAGAGGUGAAAUUCUUGGAUUUAUUGAAGACUAACUACUGCGAAAGCAUUUGCCAAGGAUGUUUUCAUUAAUCAAGAACGAAAGUUAGGGGAUCGAAGACGAUCAGAUACCGUCGUAGUCUUAACCAUAAACUAUGCCGACUAGGGAUCGGAUGAUGUUAAUUUUUUAAUGACUCA
This 508-nucleotide ribosomal RNA is filed under the name uncultured Glomus. RNAcentral describes it as "SSU rRNA". It matches the Rfam family "Eukaryotic small subunit ribosomal RNA", at positions 569 to 1078 of the family's 1831-position model. Lineage: Eukaryota; Fungi; Glomeromycota; Glomeromycetes; Glomerales; Glomeraceae. The record is from RNAcentral.